Long non-coding RNA from Lagenorhynchus albirostris (white-beaked dolphin), 987 nucleotides. RefSeq lists it as uncharacterized. NCBI's taxonomy places the organism in Eukaryota, Metazoa, Chordata, Mammalia, Artiodactyla, Delphinidae. The record is from RefSeq and is a predicted model, not a curated record. The transcript has 2 exons.
CCCAAAUCGCUCCUUCCUCUUUUUCAGCUUCUCGUCAUCCUCAGACUGUUCAGGGACAAAGAAAAGGGCUGAAACAAGCUAUCCCUCCAUUCACAAGGGUUGCUCCCGUGUGGGAAGAAUAGUGCUGGAAUCUGAAACGCCCUUAUUUGCUAUCAAGUGAAAACUCUUCAAAACACACCACUUGCAUCCAAAAUCAGAAGAGAAACCUGUCCUCACUGACUAAACACAGGCACUGGAUAUUCAGAUUGAUCCAUGUACUUCACUUCCCUCAUUCUCCCACUCAAGACUUAAAGAGCAAGCCAACUAACUGACCGACGCCAAUAACUUCAGCAUACAUGAUCCUCACUCCUAUCUCCCAAUAACUGCCUUGUUUUUCUUUUCAGAAGUUUGGUGAUAAAAACAAGAAAGAGAACUGUGUAAAAGAGGAGAGAGGUCAUAUAAGAAGCACAGGGCAGGGCUUCCCUGGUGGCGCAGUGGUUGAGAGUCCGCCUGCCCAUGCAGGGGACAUGGGUUCGUGCCCCGGUCCAGGAAGAUCCCACAUGCCGCAGAGCAGCCAGGCCCGUGAGCCAUGGCUGCUGAGCCUGCGCGUCCGAAGCCUGUGCUCCGCAACGGGAGAGGCCGCAACAGUGAGAGGCCGGCGUACCGCAAAAAAAAAAAACAAAAAACUACUAAAGAAGCACAGGGCAGAAAGCAUGAUAUAUAUUUAAUAAAGCCAAAUGCCCCCAUGAAUCACUAUCACUGUAUUUUCCAUCAUGGAAUAAGAUAGUUCCUAACUGAACCUUUCAGAAGACUUCAACUUUUCAAAAUUCACUUUUCUUCUUGUUUCCCUUUCACAUUUGGCACAUCCUUGGACAAUAUAAAGAAAAUGAUACCUGCUGAAAGAAAAGACGGAGACAUUCCAGGUUGCCCCAAGAUACAAAUUACAUGUGUGAAAGUGCUUAGUACAUAGGAACUAUCAUAUAAGUAUUCAAUAAAUGUUAGCCAUUA